Molecule: transfer RNA, 73 nt
Filed under: Anaerolineaceae bacterium
Lineage: Bacteria; Bacillati; Chloroflexota; Anaerolineae; Anaerolineales; Anaerolineaceae
Description: tRNA-Glu
Rfam family: tRNA
About the family: Transfer RNA (tRNA) molecules are approximately 80 nucleotides in length. Their secondary structure includes four short double-helical elements and three loops (D, anti-codon, and T loops).
Source: RNAcentral
GGCCCCAUCGUCUAGUGGCCCAGGAUGUCACCCUUUCAAGGUGAAGACACGGGUUCGAGUCCCGUUGGUGCUA